Long non-coding RNA from Oncorhynchus gorbuscha (pink salmon), 1010 nucleotides. RefSeq lists it as uncharacterized. The record is from RefSeq and is a predicted model, not a curated record. NCBI's taxonomy places the organism in Eukaryota, Metazoa, Chordata, Actinopteri, Salmoniformes, Salmonidae. The transcript is spliced from 3 exons.
UCUAGUAAGAGUGAGUCAAAUGUUAGUGAGUUAGAUAAUCAUGUAAUAGAUAAACUUCAAGUCUCUGUCGUUUGUUUACCUUUCGCAAAAUAUGUCCUCAUUUUUUUCCAGAGUGGGAUGUCACUGUUGAAGAUGAUACCUCUCCCGUCCAUCCCGAUACACUGCAGUCCUCGUUUACUGGCGAACCGGGCUGUGUAGUGGGCACUCUUCAGGACAUGGUAGACAGCAGAGGACCUGCAGCAAGAGUGAGAGACCAAGAGUGUCAUAAAUAGAGAGUCUCAAACAAGUAGUGCUGAUCUUGGAUAAGUUUUUACUUUUUCAAUGAUAAUGAACGGACAUGGGAGGUAGAGGAUCUUAGAUCUACUCUGAGACGCUUGAUGAAUAUCACCCCCUACCCCCACCGAACUGAAUGAGUGGAGUAUUUUCCAAUUCCAUUUCAACAGAACUUACUUGCUAAGAAUGAGAGUCUCUUCUCCGUUGAUCCAGACCCGAACCAUACUCCCAUAUCUCUUGUUGUAGUAGUUACAGGCUGUUCCUAUCCCGCUCCAGAUGAACCGAGAGUAGGACAGGAUUGGACCCAGACCAGCCCAGAAGAAAGGACCUGCCAUAGAGGCACGUACAGUAGAGACGCAGAUGGCAGCAGGGUGAACAGUCCGUGGCUCGGGUGGGUUCUUGAUGAAUCUUCUUGGCCUUCCUGUGACAUCGGGUGCUAAAGAUGUCCUGGAGGGCAGGCAGUGUGCCCCCCCUGGUGAUGCGUUGGGCUGACCGCACCACCCUCUGGAGAGCCCUGCGUUUGCGGACGGUUCAAUCGCCAUACCAGGCAGGAAAUUUUAAGCCUCUUGAAGUUGAACAGAUCAAGUUCCUGUUGGAUCUACAGUACAGUGCUUUGCGAAAGUAUUCGGCCCCCUUGAACUUUGCGACCUUUUGCAACAUUUCAGGCUUCAAACAUAAAUAUAUAAAACUGUAUUUUUUUGUGAAGAAUCAACAACAAGUGGGACACAAUCAUGAAG